Molecule: non-coding RNA, 45 nt
Organism: Schistosoma haematobium
Lineage: Eukaryota; Metazoa; Platyhelminthes; Trematoda; Strigeidida; Schistosomatidae
Source: Rfam
AUUCAACUGACGAGUCCUAAAUAAGACAAAACGCGCUUCCUAGAU